GCCCAGAUGGCGGAAUUGGUAGACGCACAUGGUUCAGGUCCAUGCGGUGGUAACACUGUGGAGGUUCGAGUCCUCUUCUGGGCACCA
This 87-nucleotide transfer RNA is filed under the name Betaproteobacteria bacterium. Its description in RNAcentral is "tRNA-Leu". It matches the Rfam family "tRNA". From Rfam's summary of the family: Transfer RNA (tRNA) molecules are approximately 80 nucleotides in length. Their secondary structure includes four short double-helical elements and three loops (D, anti-codon, and T loops). Lineage: Bacteria; Pseudomonadati; Pseudomonadota; Betaproteobacteria. The record is from RNAcentral. RNAcentral also lists the same sequence under 3 other names.